Molecule: ribosomal RNA, 488 nt
Filed under: uncultured bacterium
Lineage: Bacteria
Description: partial 16S ribosomal RNA
Rfam family: Bacterial small subunit ribosomal RNA
Source: RNAcentral
GACGAACGCUGGCGGCGUGCUUAACACAUGCAAGUCGAACGGUAAGGCCCUGCUUUUGUGGGGUGCUCGAGUGGCGAACGGGUGAGUAACCCGUGAGUAACCUCCUCUUGACUUUGGGAUAACUUCAGGAAACUGGGGCUAAUACCGGAUAGAAUACCCUGCUGCAUGGUGGGGGUUGGAAAGUUUCGGCGGAUGGGGCUGGACGCGCGGCGUAUCAGAUUGUUGGUGGGGUAGUGGCUUACUAAGGCUUUGAUGGGUAGCCGAACGGAGAGGGGGAUCGGCCACACGGGAACUGAGACACGGACCAGAGUACUGCGGUAGGCAGCAGUAGGGAAUCUGAGGCAAUGGUCGAGAGUCUGACAGAGUAACGGCGAGUGAGUGAAGAAGGUGUUCGGAGCGGAAAACUCUGUUGUUGGAGAAGAACAAGGACGUUAGUAACUGAACGGCGCCUGACGGUAACUAAUCAGAAAGCCACGGCUAACUACGUG